Molecule: unclassified non-coding RNA, 186 nt
Filed under: uncultured Dothideomycetes
Lineage: Eukaryota; Fungi; Ascomycota; Dothideomycetes
Description: sequence contains ITS1
Source: RNAcentral
CCUGGCCUUGGGCCGCUCGCGGGGGCUCGUCGCUUGCGACGGUGCUCCCGGGGGUGCUUAGCCCUUGACUCUUACCUUGAUUAUGCGCACCUUUUGUUGUUCCCUCGGCAGGUCUCCUGCCGACAGGAACCCCAUAAACCCUUCAUGUAUAAGCAUCAAACCUCUGAAAACAAAUUUAAUUAUUUA